AUUGAACGCUAGCGGGAUGCUUUACACAUGCAAGUCGAACGAGUGGCGGACGGGUGAGUAAUAUAUCGGAACGUGCCCAGUUGCGGGGGAUAACUACUCGAAAGAGUGGCUAAUACUGCAUACUAUUGGAGCGGCCGAUAUCGGGUUAGCUAGUUGGUGGGGUAAAGGCUCACCAAGGCAACGAUCCGUAGCUGGUUGGAGCGGACGAACAGCCACACUGGGACUGAGACACGGCCCGGACGCCUACGUGAGGCAGCAGUGGGGAAUGUUGGACAAUGGGGGAGACCCUGAUCCAGCCAUCCCAAGUGGAGGAGAAGGCCUUCGGGUUGUAAAGUACUUUUGGCAGAGAAGCGGUAUCUGAAGAAUAAGCACCGGCUAACUACGUGCCAGCAGCCGCGGUAAUUC
RNAcentral lists this ribosomal RNA (405 nucleotides) under uncultured bacterium. RNAcentral's name for it is "partial 16S ribosomal RNA". It matches the Rfam family "Bacterial small subunit ribosomal RNA", at positions 30 to 526 of the family's 1533-position model. The record is from RNAcentral.